GAUGAACGCUGGCGGCGUGCCUAAUACAUGCAAGUCGAGCGAACAGACGAGAGUGCUUGCACUCUCUGACGUUAGCGGCGGACGGGUGAGUAACACGUGUGUAACCUACCUAUAAGACUGGGAUAACUUCGGGAAACCGGAGCUAAUACCGGAUAAUAUUUAGCUUCGCAUGACGCAAUAGUGAAAGACGGUUCUGCUGUCACUUAUAGAUGGACCCGCGGUGUAUUAGCUAGUUGGUGAGGUAACGGCUCACCAAGGCAACGAUACAUAGCCGACCUGAGAGGGUGAUCGGCCACACUGGGACUGAGACACGGCCCAGACUCCUACGGGAGGCAGCAGUAGGGAAUCUUCCGCAAUGGACGAAAGUCUGACGGAGCAAUGCCGCGUGAGUGAAGAAGGUUUUCGGAUCGUAAAACUCUGUUGUAAGGGAAGAACAAGUACGUUAGUAACUGAACGUACCUUGACGGUACCUUAACAGAAAGCCACGGCUAACUACGUG
This 499-nucleotide ribosomal RNA is filed under the name uncultured bacterium. RNAcentral describes it as "partial 16S ribosomal RNA". It matches the Rfam family "Bacterial small subunit ribosomal RNA", at positions 28 to 507 of the family's 1533-position model. The record is from RNAcentral.